AGAGGGUGCAAACGUUGUUCGGAUUUACUGGGCGUAAAGCGUGUGUAGGCGGCUUCGCAAGUUGGAUGUGAAAUCCCACGGCUCAACCGUGGACGUGCAUCCAAAACUGCGUCGCUAGAGUCUCGGAGAGGAAGGUGGAAUGCUUGGUGUAGAGGUGAAAUUCGUAGAUAUCAAGCAGAACACCUGCGGCGAAGGCGGCCUUCUGGACGAUGACUGACGCUGAGACACGAAAGCGUGGGGAGCAAACAGGAUUAGAUACCCUGGUAGUCCACGCCGUAAACGAUGAGUGCUAGGUGUCACGGGCUUUGACCCUCGUGGUGCCGUAGCUAACGCAAUAAGCACUCCGCCUGGGGAGUACGGUCGCAAGACUAAA
RNAcentral lists this ribosomal RNA (373 nucleotides) under uncultured bacterium. RNAcentral's name for it is "bacterial SSU rRNA". It matches the Rfam family "Bacterial small subunit ribosomal RNA", at positions 527 to 898 of the family's 1533-position model. The record is from RNAcentral.